This 485-nucleotide ribosomal RNA is filed under the name uncultured bacterium. Its description in RNAcentral is "bacterial SSU rRNA". It matches the Rfam family "Bacterial small subunit ribosomal RNA", at positions 28 to 497 of the family's 1533-position model. The record is from RNAcentral.
GAUGAACGCUAGCGGCAGGCUUAAUACAUGCAAGUCGAGGGGCAUCAAGGUACACGAAAGUGUAUUGUUGGCGACCGGCGGACGGGUGAGUAAUAGGUAGGUAACCUACCUCAUACUGAGGCAUAGCUGGGAGAAAUUCCAGGUAAUUCCUCAUGAGGUUAUAUGACACAUGUGAUAUAAUCAAAGGUAUCGCAAGGUACUGGUAUGAGAUGGGCUUACUGACCAUUAGCUAGUUGGUGAGAUAAGAGCUCACCAAGGCGAAGAUGGUUAGGGGUUUUGAGAGAGAGAUCCCCCAAUUGGAACUGAGAUACGGUCCAGACUCCUACGGGAGGCAGCAGUAGGGAAUAUUGGGCAAUGGGCGGAAGCCUGACCCAGCCAUGCCGCGUGAAGGAAGACGGCCUUAUGGGUUGUAAACUUCUUUACUAUGCGACUAACUAGAUUUACGAGAUAAUUCUAUAGAAUGUAGCAUAGACAAAAGCACCGGA